Drosophila simulans is the source of this 7592-nucleotide long non-coding RNA. RefSeq lists it as uncharacterized. NCBI's taxonomy places the organism in Eukaryota, Metazoa, Arthropoda, Insecta, Diptera, Drosophilidae. The record is from RefSeq and is a predicted model, not a curated record. The transcript is spliced from 2 exons.
AUGCAUUUCCCCUUUUCUCGGACACCUCGCUUAUCGCCUGCCAAUUAGCGGAAUUCGUCCGAGCCACUUUCCGCUUAUCAGUUGGCCAAAACAAGCGGGGUGGGCAUAGUUCCCGGAAGGGCAUAUGUGCAAAAAUGGUAAACACUACUCAACAUUAGCGCCAAGAUAAGAGCGGAUCGUGUUCUAAACAUCUUCUCACACUUGAAAACAAUGACUCACGCAAGGGGGUUGUUCAUCCCUUCGUGAAUAAACCAGCAGAAUGGCAUGAAUUGUGCCAUUUAUUAGUUGCCUGGUGUUCUCUUCGUGCACAACAUCUAAUUGGUUGACAUUAGAGCUUAUAAUUUCCGAAAUUCGCUCAUAAUCUCUGGGCUGUGCGCUUCAUUAAUUGCGAAUUAGAGUUGCUCCCAUGCCGCCCACCAAAAAGCCUCAUGACUUAUGCACCUGAUGCUCCUCGUCUGUGUGCAUGUGAUUAUGACUUUGGGGGAGUGAAUGUAGAAUGUAUAGUCCACCCACCCAUUAGUUCUGGCAGGCGGGGCAAAACAGGACGGGGGGACUCGUCAAAGUGAGUCCAACGUUUAUCCACAGGACCAAGUGCUCAGACCCCAGAGUGCGAAUCAAGUUCGGUGGGGGAUCAGGAGCAAAAGGACCCAGCUGUCCAGAGGGGGGCAGUGAUUGUUUGGCCAGGGGCUCCGCUCCUCAACUUGAUUCAUGGCCCUCUGUUUGCAGAGCUACUCGCAGGAGAUUCGAAUUCCAUUCGAGCUCGGACCAAGUUUGCAGCACUUUUCCGCACUCAAUGGGUUGAAUGAAAUCUGGAAAUUCAGGAAAAAAUGGGACAAUUCUGCGUAAUAAUAUUAAUAAUCAUGCGCCUCGCUGGGCACAUUUAUCUUGCCGCAAUUGUGAUGAGUUUCUGGGCUCCGAAGAUAUCUCUUCCGCUUUCAUGACAAACAAAUGUAGCAAAUAUUUGCCAACCAAUGGACCGGAAAUAGUUCCAUUCAACAUUUUCUUUUUGCUUUGUUUUCAUGUUUACGCCCUUUUUUUACAAUUUUUUGCAAUGCUCGAACUGAAUUGCAAAUUUGGAGACAUGGGAAAAAUACAAAUGGCUGGGAGUUUCGCAACAGAAAAUAGUUCCAAUUUUCCUGUAGUUAAACUUGCCUCCACUUAAGCUUAAUCGGCGAUUUCAGUGGAUAAAAUAGUUGGCAGUGCCGGUACAAAAUUCAAUUCAAUUCGGCAGUCAGCAGCUCAAAUGAAGCAAAUAAACUGUAUGCAGUGUGCAAACUUUUGGCCAAAGGUGAAGUUCAGCUCAGAUGGCUUACAAACGACCCCUUUUGGCCGGAAAAUGGGAUGGCUGCUGCACACACGUUUCAUGUGAGCAUAUGAGCGCUUUUCCUCGACUAUCUGCUCGCAAUUUAAUUGCGGUUUCCUGACCUUGAUUGCCGUUUAAUUAAUGCUGGCGGCCAAUAAAUUGUCAUAACCAAAGCAAACCGCAGAUCCACUUUUUAGCCCGAUUCCGCAGGCGAGUGACACACGAGAACCGCACGUCAGCAAGACAUGGCCACAAAGUUGCUCGCAUCUGGCCAACCAUUUUCAUUACCCCUCGAUAAUUUGCUCAAUUAAAGUCGAACUCGAAGACUUUGCGGCAUUUGCGAGAAUCGCUUUAUUGCUGCACUUAGAAACGCUCCCCAAUUUGUGGCGACACUUGCUCCAUACUCCACUUCCGUUCAUAUACAUAUACAAUGCAUACAUAUGCCGACAGACAGACAGCUAAUUUAGUUAGCUGAUAAAACUAAACUAAACUGAGCCGAUCAUCUUGGCGAAGGACGAGGGUAGGGGGGUCGGGGGGCUGUGGAGCGAAAGUUGAACAGCUAACUUACUUCGAUAAACAGGCUUAAUUAGCGACCAAAGCUGAAAGCCAACAAACUGCCAACUGGAGCUGGCACUAGGCGCAUUAUUUCCCAUUUCCCAGGGCCCAGCGCACACACACACACACAGAUACACACUCAUCCCCUGCCUGCCACGCACACAAACACACUUAAAGCCACUGGCAGCAGGACUAAAAACACAAUCAAAUAUUAGACAGUGGCUGGCACUCGAAUUGUGGCACAACUAAACAGUGGAGCAGUGCGAUGGAGUUUGUAAAAUAAAAACCAUAGAAAGCCAUUCUAAAAGUAAGUACAUUUUAAGCAGUGAAAUAUAUUGCUCAUACGCAACGUUGUACGCAAUUUCAGUUCUGUAUGUAAGCUUUAAAGAUGAGAUACAUUAUUAAUUCAAUUACAUUUUCACUUGGCGAGUUCAAUUAAUAAUGUAUAUAAAAGCCAUUUAAAAUGAAAACAUAAUAUUUUGUUGUAUCUGCAAUUCACUUAACCCACUGUAGACUUGCGUUCGUUGAAGGGCUUUGUCGACUGUCCGGCUUAAUUAUGUGCAAGCAACAAUGAUAUUUAUAUUAUCAGCCAGUCAAUGUCAAACGUCAGCACCACCCACUGACCAGCAGAUGAAGUCCUUGGUCCUUCGAGCCCGAUACCCAACCUCCGGCGAGCACACAGCAUUACCAUUAAGUCCGAAGGAAGACAAAGACGCCGGCCAAGGUACCAGCAUUCGUUUUGGGGCUGAGUCGGGGUCUUUGUGGGCCUGUUAAUAGCUCCUCCAUGUGCACCGCUCCGAUUCGCCAUAACCCGAAAUUAUAUCCCCGCACACAUGGCUCCCCAGGGGCAGGGCAUGAAAGCGAGUUGAAAUGCUGGCCGGUCCAGAGUUAAAUGCAGAUUCAUGGCUGCCCAGUCAGCAGACAAAUGAUGUGAACGCGAACUCGAAAUUUCAAGGGGCUCAGGACGCCGGCGAAUGUCCCUGGGCGCCCAAAACUUAAAGCCCAUCGUUUUAAUUCGUUCCGAACCUGUUGCCGGCAAUUCCAUUUUUAUUUUCGUCCUCGAUUUUUUACCCGUGUUUUUGUUUUGUCGCAGAGCACUCUCGAUUCGCAUCGCAUCGAAUCGGAAUCCGAAUCGGGGUAAAACAAAAGCUUUGUCCGAGGACAGGACUCCGAGGGCGCAGGACAUCCAGAUGGGCGAAUAGAAGGCACAAUGGCCCAACGGCGCAAACACAAUCCAAAGUGUUGGCAUCGCACAACAGCAGGAAAAUGGCUCACUCUCGUGUGACAGUGACGUCUCACAAUUCGUAUGACAGCACAUCGAGUGGCAGGGAAAUGAUAUGAAGGGGCAUGUGGACAAAGGAUGCCGAAGUUAUCUCAAUUAUGUUCGACAUUCAGUCGAUACCCUGCCAAAAGGAUAUGAGUAAUAGGAUAACCGCAAACGGCGAUGAUCCGCAGACAAGCCUGCACAUCAAGCUGCCAUCCUGCUGUUUUCAGGGUAGCAAGGCGAGAAUAUGGAAAAACCAAGCCGAGCUGGAGUUUGUCUAGACAAAUUGUGUCCUUAAGCCCGCCCAAAGGGGGAUCCUCCCCCUUCCAGGGGGGAGCCUACAUCUGUGUGCGUGGCGUGGGCUUAUCUCGUUAAUGGCUGCCAUAUUUGCUCAGCCUCCGUUUUCGCUGCGGCCCAGCUACCUGAAACUCCAAAUUGGCAACAUGAGUUGGCAACAACACCAUCUGCGUGGGCGAAAAGUAAUUUGUAGGCAAAUUAUGAUAAAUAGAUUCGUGUCUAACCCGCGACCAGGCAACCCAACUCAAUUUGGGCUUACACAAAACAGGAACUCCAUUUGCUAAAUUGUUUCACAUUGUUCUCAAGAAAAUCCUUGAAAUCCUGCAGCGAAAUACGCUUCUUCGAUUUGGAUUUCGGAUUUCUUGGCAAUUUAUGACCCAACAAUUGCACUCUUGUGGCACUUAUUGAAUUAGGUGACAUUCAAAUGCUUUUUUAUGCCCCGACAUAAAUAACUCUGUGGGAACUUUGCGUUUUUUCGGGGUAAUACGUUUAGAGACCCAAGGCAUUGGCUGGGCAGCUCAAUUAAAAUGACACUAAAUUGCAUUUGGAUUGCCAUGUCGUGCCUUGGUCUGAGCCACAGCCCACUCCUUGCCAGGUUGCCCUCCUUUUCCCCGGCUGAGAUUGCCUUUUUGCGCAGACUGCACUGGAAAUAAAUCAAUGGAUAUGCCUAAAAUAAAAGUCGACACUUCUUGAUUGCAUAUGGGAGUUCGCUUUAUUAACUGGCCAAUCUUAUAAGUUACACAUACACUAUAGCUACAGAAACCUAAGAUUUUCGCUCAGUGUGCCUGAGCUUGAGCUGCAGCAUCUGUCUAUGCACUCGGGAUUUGAGCUCGGGACGUGGACGAGGACACUCCACUCAAGCGACUUGCCCGCAGCGCCGUCAUCUUGAGCACUGAAGCCCCGAAGGCCCCGGAUCCCCGGUUACCCACCCAGCUGCCCCAUCCUUCGGCCUCGUCCUGGCAUCCACAUCCUGCGUGUCUGUGCAUUCGCCGCUGUGGUAUUUUCCAUGUCGCUGCAUUGCUUUCAGCAUCUGGCUGGCGACCAACUUUGCAGGCAGCCCGACAUCUUGGCAUUUAAGGAAUCUCCAGGAGCAAAUUCGCCUUGUCUGUUGCCUUUAAGGCUGCCUGCAGUCCUGUAGUCCUGCAGUCGUGCGAUUGAAAUGCCGAUUGUAUGCUAACUGGAUUAAUUGUCCAUGUGGCAAACACCCCUUCUCCUUCGGCAUGUACUUAAAACAUAAUGCCAAAUCGAAACGGAAUUUAAUUUGCCGCACUUAACGCCGCGCGGAGGGAAAACAAACACAUUUCCGCCGAAAAAGCUCUUUGAUUUCGAGCGCUGAAAAUUGGAUUUCGAGCUAUCUUGAUCCGCAUUUGCUAGCAAAAUAUGCGAUAAUGCGAAUAAUGUUGUGGGAAAAUCAAUUUGUUAUGACGCCGCUUGAGUUGAGCGGGCGAAUAGAAGGAAUGCGCCUACACGCUCUUGGAAAUAACAUAAACAUUUUAAACAUGAAAAGAAAGCAAAAGCAUUGUAUCUAGUUACAAACAUUUUAGGCUGGAAUAAGUGCUGAAUUGUCAAAACGAUAUGUUAUAAUUAUAAGAAUUCUCCCUUUAGAAAUUCGGUUAGUUGUCACUUAAAUGGCGAUUAAUUAAAACUUAAAGCGCUAAGAAUUUAUUACUCGCCACUCGAAUUUAAUUUGCUUGUUCUGUCUGUUCUGUGUACCAGGACGAGUGCACAAAUGCCGCUGCAGGUCAGUGGAAGUUCAGCUGGAUCCCUAACAAUGCCAACUAGUUGCCACUCACACAGAUACUCGCACACAUGCACACCAGCACGGCGCCAUAAAGUAUGCAUCAGAAAAGCGUGAACGUACUGAGCCCCGAGCGAGGCGCUUGAUAAAUAUUCAAAAUUCGAUGGCAACGGAUAUGCUGGAUGGGGGAUGUAUGGUACGUAUGGGAGGAUGCAGGAUGGGGGAUGGAGGAGGGAGGAUGAAGGAUGCUGGAUGGAGAGGCUGGGCUGUGCACUGGGCAGGACGAAGGAACAAAGGGGUGUACGGGCGCACACCUCACACAGUCGCACAAACGUUCUUCGUUUGCAUACUUGAUUUGCGUGUGAGUGUGUGUGGCAGCAAUUUAUGUGGCAUUGAGAACUUUGGUAGAUUUGACAUUCUAACGCUCGUCGACAAAAUAUACGCAAAUCUAUGUAUGCAUGGGGGGCUCGUAAAUAUGCCAGCAUGACGUGUAAUUCGAUUUAUAUGCAUGCUCCAUAUAAAAAUAUGACCCCACCGCCCCUCUGUCCACCCUCCAAAUCGGCCAUCGAUGCCUAGUUGCAUGUCCAUAGGCGGAAUUAAAAGCAAAUAUAAAUCUGCAUAUAUGAGGCGGGAUCAAAUUGUUAGCUAUUAGUAAGUCUGCGGCUCAAAAAUGGGUAUUUGGGGCAUACCAAAUGGUGCGAUUAUGGAUUUGAUCCAUUGAAAGGUGUUUGCUUACUUAACAAAGUACAAAAACAUAAGUGCCACAAGUGGAAGUGUUCCUUUCUUUAACACCUUAAUUAACUUAAUUUUUAAAUUCAUAGUGAAGGAGUCCAUUGGUGCUCAAUGAUAUAACUUUAGGCACUCGAGUGAAAGGCGAGUGAAAGUUGAAGAGGGGCAGCAAUCAAAGUCAGGGAAUGCUAAUGGCUAGUGUUGCACAUGAAGCUAUUAGACGGCAUGACAGGCCCAUCUCCGACUGAAGUGAGCAAUUUGCUCGGACAACAGGCUGCUCGGUUAACCCAACUGCACACAGACCAGGAUUGUGUGGCCCCGCCCGCAGGUUGUCUUCGAGAUUCGUACAUAUAUAUACGUACGUAUAUAUUUGAGUAUAAAGCUGCUGCUCUUGUCUCACCUUGAUUACAUUGAUGCAUUUCCACAUCAUUAAGCCGUCUAAACACCAUUAGCAGCAGCCCAGAUUUUGAGGUGCGUAUGUUGUGCGUGUGUGGAUGUAAGUCACGGAUUUAUCUGCCAGGCAUCCCUACACACACACACACACGCAUCGCUUCCGGCUGAGUGCACCCACACAGAUACAGAUACGAGCCAGCGCCAACUCAUUUGCCACUCCCUAAUGGCGAAUCAAUGGGCUGACUGCGCCACAGCCCACGUCCCAGUGUUCCAGUGUUCCAGGAAGUCCAGCUGCCCACGACUACGACUUCUACUAUGGGUAUGGCUAUAUAGGAGCCGCAAACGGAACCAUCCGGCUGAUGACACUUGAAUGAGUUUCGGCGUCUUUUGUCGCCGGCAUCUCACGCUAAAUUGCACAUAUUAUUUAUACAUAAGGACUCAACUGACCAUAAGUUAUGUAUAUUAGCUAAUCGUUAAGGUUGCUUCCGCUGCUUUAUGAACUUGCCAGCCAACUGACGACCACAUUUACCCAUUCGAUUUGGCCUUCCGAUGGGCCAUCAAUUCCGGAGUGAGUGAGUUUUGGAUUAUGGAUUCAGUUUUUUGCUUGGGCAGCCCGGUGGCGUGUAUUGAUUUUAUAUCAAUUAGUCUGUCAUACGAUUCGAAUGUGCGCAUUUCGGGAUUUUAUUUUAGAAAAGCCACUCCUUGCUAAAUCUCUUUGUAUAUUGGAUUACAUUUCUGUUUGAGCAUUCCCAGAUCGAGAGUCUAAACAAAUCAUUUCUUAAUUAAACUCCUCCUGGAACAGCUCUCCAUGAAGUCAGAGUACUAGCAGCUCCCCAAAAUCCAAAACGCACGUUCAUCCAAGAGCCCCCAAGUGACGCACAAGGGUUGAUAAAAAUAGCAGGUCACGCUUCUGGGGGGCAAACUUAAUGCGAAGGCAUUAGGAGCCGGUGGAGCCAAUACAAUUGUAACCCUUGGCAUUGUUAUGGGGGCAUUAAAUUCCAAUUACACGUUAAGAUGCCGCGUUAAUGGCCAAGUUAAUGCACUUGCACUGCCGUUGGCCCGUUGAUUCGCCACUGGGGGGGCGUGGCGCUCCCGAAAUGACAAAGCAGCCGAAAUACAUUAUUACAUUUACAUUUAUUAUAGGCAUGCAGUAUAAAAUGCUUUGUACAUGAAUUGGUGUUUGUGUUAAUGUCUUAUGGGUGAGUGUUUCGUGAGUGUUUUGUGAGUGUUUCGUGAGUGCUGCUCCCUGUGUGUUGCGGGUUAAUCUUAUGAUUGGUAAGUCAGAUGGGCUUAGAGCGAAACGAGUGUAUAAA